RNAcentral lists this transfer RNA (73 nucleotides) under Bos taurus (domestic cattle). It matches the Rfam family "tRNA". From Rfam's summary of the family: Transfer RNA (tRNA) molecules are approximately 80 nucleotides in length. Their secondary structure includes four short double-helical elements and three loops (D, anti-codon, and T loops). The record is from Rfam by way of RNAcentral. RNAcentral also lists the same sequence under 3 other names. Lineage: Eukaryota; Metazoa; Chordata; Mammalia; Artiodactyla; Bovidae.
UCCCUGGUGGUCCAGUGGUUAAGACUCUGUGCUUCCACUGUAGGAGGCCCGGGUUCCAUCCCUGGUUGGGGAA